GAUGAACGCUGGCGGCGUGCCUAAUACAUGCAAGUCGAGCGAACAGACGAGGAGCUUGCUCCUCUGACGUUAGCGGCGGACGGGUGAGUAACACGUGGAUAACCUACCUAUAAGACUGGGAUAACUUCGGGAAACCGGAGCUAAUACCGGAUAAUAUAUUGAACCGCAUGGUUCAAUAGUGAAAGACGGUUUUGCUGUCACUUAUAGAUGGAUCCGCGCCGCAUUAGCUAGUUGGUAAGGUAACGGCUUACCAAGGAAACGAUGCGUAGCCGACCUGAGAGGGUGAUCAGCCACACUGGAACUGAGACACGGUCCAGACUCCUACGAGAGGCAGAAGUAGGGCAUCUUCCGCAAUGAGCGAAAGCCUGACGGAGCAACGCCGCGUGAGUGAUGAAGAUCUUCGGAUCGUAAAACUCUGUUAUUAGGGAAGAACAAAUGUGUAAGUAACUAUGCACGUCUUGACGGUACCUAAUCAGAAAGCCACGGCUAACUACGUG
Molecule: ribosomal RNA, 497 nt
Filed under: uncultured bacterium
Lineage: Bacteria
Description: partial 16S ribosomal RNA
Rfam family: Bacterial small subunit ribosomal RNA
Source: RNAcentral